RNA transcript from Carya illinoinensis, 985 nucleotides. RefSeq lists it as uncharacterized. Lineage: Eukaryota; Viridiplantae; Streptophyta; Magnoliopsida; Fagales; Juglandaceae. The record is from RefSeq and is a predicted model, not a curated record. The transcript has 3 exons.
AAAUAACAAAAGUGUAUAACGAAGAAGUUGAUGACGGCAAAGCAGUGUGAGUUUUUCCUCAACACGUCCAGAUCCAUCUUCCCCCCUUCCUCAGUGAACAGUUUUCUAUAUCCCUUUGUUGUAAGAGAUUAAGGACGCAGUGGCACUGGACAUUAACACACCUAGGCCAGGUCAUGGCCUCCCAAUUUCGGCAAACGACAUGAACUCCGUCGGCGGCGUCUCUGGUUGACGCAUGGAAAUACGGCCGAAGUUUUGGAGUCAAGUGGCCAGAUUGGAGAAACAGUCAUUGAAACUCAAGAAAGUGUAAUUGAUCUUGUUUAAUUACUUUACGUUUUGGAGUCAAGUGGCCAGAUUGGAGAAACAGUCAUUGAGACUCAAGAAAGUGUAAUUGAUCUUAUUUAAUUACUUUACGCACAAGUAUGGAGUUACAGUUUUAACUGUUAGAUUAUGUUCACAGAUGCAACUUGGGGAUGGGACACAACCAGAGCUUUGUGGAGCUGUAGGUGGGGAAUCUGGUUUUCAAUCCCAAGGAUGAUGUCCAUAUGGAGCUGUUAACUACAAGUAUUGUUAGGACGUGUUUUUUUCUUAGUGGAACUUUAAUGGAAAAUUAAUUCAGUCCCUCGGAUAUGUUUCUCUGUUUUUCCUGCAGAAAUAAUGAUGUAUAUCUGAAAAUGGGAUUGGACAGCACUUUGGACAUGUUAGGACUGAAGAUUUAUGGAAAUACUUUCAUUCGAUGGUUUUGUCUUUUGUUGGUGUAUUUGUUUACUCUCAAGUUAGAGAAGUACAAUACAUUGUUUCUAUUUUAGUUUGGAAACUGAACUGGUGUAUGUCAUUCCAUGGUUGUAUGUUGAGUUGUAAGUGUUAAUUAAUACUUGUGAAGUAGGGAUUAUGUUAUUUAUAUGCAAUGGAAUGAGGUGCUGCUUGGGCAGCCCAAACUAUGUUUUGUUAAAGUUAAAUAAGGGACUUGAAUGAGGUUCUAAUUAUA